RNAcentral lists this long non-coding RNA (1263 nucleotides) under Homo sapiens (human). Its description in RNAcentral is "HSALNT0316428". Lineage: Eukaryota; Metazoa; Chordata; Mammalia; Primates; Hominidae. The record is from RNAcentral.
CAACCAGUUACACCCGGAAGUGUUCUGGGGUCGCCCCCACGGCGGCGCGGCGGAGCUCAGCCUCGAUCUCGCGAAACCGAGCGAGACUACGGAAGGCCGAAGGAUUGGGCUCAGCAUUGCUUGGGCUAAAGGCUGACUAGGGCUUCCAGGAAGUGAUGUAUGUGAGAAGUUUGCUUUUUAAAGUGUACGUGGGAUCGUUAUUACGUCGAAAUAGCUCGAGCUGUAACCUAGGGCUUGAGUGCAGUGGCACGAUCUUGGCUCACUGCAACCUCCACCUCCCGAGUUCAAGCGAUUCUCCUGCCUCACCCUCCUGAGUAGCUGGGACUACAGGCCUGCGCCACCACACCUGGCUAACUUCUGAAUAUCAAGCUGAAAUUACUAUCAGAUAUCUUGCCACCACAUAGAGGCUUUGAGUGAAGUCUGCAUGGAGGAGAACAGAGCUGAGAGAUGGAAAGAUACUGAAUCCCAGUGACGUCCUUUGAGAUGUCGGAUCAAGCUGAGCUGGGCAUGAAGAUAGAGCUACUCCUAUACUUUUAAGAUACCAAUAACAAGCAAGAUUCAGAAGUCCAACAAGUAAGACAUUGAUUUCAUUAAGAGAGAACUAGUAAGCAAGCUAUUUGGGAAGUACACUCUCAUAAGAAUAUUGUUUCAUGAAGUCUUGAGCAACAAAGGAAAUAGUCCAUGAAGUGCACUGCUGUCAGACUCCCUCUAAGAAUACUUCAACUGCUCAUGAAGCGGGGGGCCUUAACUAUUUACUUCUUUUGGAAGCCUCCAUCUGGCCCAUCUAUCUUUAUUCUCCCAGGAUCACAGGAUGAAGUACAGCUUGGCUGACCCAGUUCUUGGGAUGGGAGGAUUAAUGAACUCUCUAAACCAAACUUUUGGAGGAAAAGAACUUCAGAGGAGUUGGACAUCAAAACUUCACGAUUCCCACUCUUGCAUCAUUUACCACCUAACUGCUGGAAGUAUCAGCCUACUCAUCGUUAUUGGCAUCACCUGGAAGCUAGCUAGAACUGGAGACUCUUAUGUCUUACCCCAGACCUACUCAAUCAGAAAUCUUCUUUUUAACAAGGUCUCCAGGUGCUUUGCACAUUAAAGCUUGCACACCCAAGGCCAUGUGCAACUUAUAUUCAUCUUGCUGUUGCAGGCUUAGCUUCUGACAGGUAAAGCUGAACUGGUGUCACCCAUUCCAUGUUCCUGCCUCUGUGUCUUUGAGCCUUCCUGCCUCCCAGAAUGUACUCUCCCUGAUAUAGUUUGCCUCUGUGU